This 253-nucleotide ribosomal RNA is filed under the name uncultured bacterium. RNAcentral describes it as "partial 16S ribosomal RNA". It matches the Rfam family "Bacterial small subunit ribosomal RNA", at positions 524 to 776 of the family's 1533-position model. The record is from RNAcentral.
UACGUAGGGGGCAAGCGUUGUCCGGAUUCAUUGGGCGUAAAGAGCGUGUAGGCGGCCAGGUAGGUCGGUUGUGAAAACUGGAGGCUCAACCUUCAGAGGUCGACCGAAACCAUCUGGCUAGAGUCCGGGAGAGGAGAGUGGAACUGCGAGUGUAGAGGUGAAAUUCGUAGAUAUUCGCAAGAACACCAGUGGCGAAGGCGGCUCACUGGCCCGAUACUGACGCUGAGGCACGAAAGCGUGGGGAGCAAACAGG